UACGGAGGAUCCAAGCGUUAUCCGGAAUUACUGGGCGUAAAGAGUUGCGUAGGUGGCAUUGUAAGCAGGUAGUGAAAGCGUUCGGCUCAACCGGAUUAACAUUACUUGAACUGCAAAGCUAGAGGACAAGAGAGGUCACUGGAAUUCCUUGUGUAGGAGUGAAAUCCGUAGAUAUAAGGAGGAACACCGAUGGCGUAGGCAGGUGACUGGCUUGUUCCUGACACUAAGGCACGAAAGCGUGGGUAGCAAACGGG
Molecule: ribosomal RNA, 254 nt
Filed under: uncultured bacterium
Lineage: Bacteria
Description: partial 16S ribosomal RNA
Rfam family: Bacterial small subunit ribosomal RNA
Source: RNAcentral